CUGCCUCAGCCUCCCAAAAGGUGUGAGCCAUUGCACCUGGCUGAAGAGUUUAUUUUUUAAUCUAUCAAAACCAGGGAGUUACCUGUUUGUAUGGUGAGUCCACAUCAACAUUUAACAGACAACAGUCACUGUGUUAUUGAGUGGUGAAUAUAAAAGCUUCCUACUUAUGUAGGCUCACAUACAUACAAUGUCUCACUGACUACUUCUAAAUUAUCAUUAGUAUUUUCCAGAGAAAAGGAAGAUUAAAAAUUAAGUUAUAUUUAUUUUGUUCUGAGUGCUGUUUUGGGGAUGAUUUCUUCUAAGUUUCCCACUCACUUUUCAAAACCUUUUGGGAAACUAAUGCCCAAGAAUACAGC
This 356-nucleotide long non-coding RNA is filed under the name Homo sapiens (human). Its description in RNAcentral is "HSALNT0223032". Lineage: Eukaryota; Metazoa; Chordata; Mammalia; Primates; Hominidae. The record is from RNAcentral.